AUUGAACGCUGGCGGCAGGCCUAACACAUGCAAGUCGAACGGUAACAGGAAGAAGCUUGCUUCUUUGCUGACGAGUGGCGGACGGGUGAGUAAUGUCUGGGAAACUGCCUGUUGGAGGGGGAUAACUCCUGGAAACGGUAGCUAAUACCGCAUAACGUCGCAACACCAAAGAGGGGGACCUUCUGGCCCCUUGCCCUCGGAUGUGCCCAGAUGGGAUUUGCUAGUAGGUGGGGUAACGGCACACCUAGGCGACGAUCCCUAGCUGGUCUGAGAGGAUGACCAGCCACACUGGAACUGAGACACGGUCCAGACUCCUACGGGAGGCAGCAGUGGGGAAUAUUGCACAAUGGGCGCAAGCCUGAUGCAGCCAUGCCGCGUGUAUGAAGAAGGCCUUCGGGUUGUAAAGUACUUUCAGCGGGGAGGAAGGGAGUAAAGUUAAUACCUCUGCUCAUUGACGUUACCCGCAGAAGAAGCACCGGCUAACUUCGUG
This 490-nucleotide ribosomal RNA is filed under the name uncultured bacterium. RNAcentral's name for it is "partial 16S ribosomal RNA". It matches the Rfam family "Bacterial small subunit ribosomal RNA", at positions 30 to 507 of the family's 1533-position model. The record is from RNAcentral.